UCAAAAACAUGUCUUUUUGAAAAUAAUUUAAAGUCUAAUCUGCCCACUGAUAGUAAUUAUUAAAGGGCUGCAGUAUAUUGACUGUACAAAGGUAGCAUAAUCAUUAGUCUUUUAAUUGAAGACUUGUAUGAAAGAUUUGAUGAAAUAUAAACUGUCUCUAAUUUAUUAAUAAAAAUUAAUUUUUUAGUUAAAAAGCUAAAAUAAUAUUAAAAGACGAGAAGACCCUAUAAAGUUUAAUAAUUUAUUUAUUUAAUAUUAAAUAUAUAAUUAAAUAUAUAAUAAUUAAUAUAAAUUAUUUUAUUGGGGUGAUAGAAAAAUUUAAUUAACUUUUUUUAAUAAAUAAACAUAAAUAAAUGAUUUAUUGAUCCAUUAUUAAUGAUUAAAAGAAAAAAUUACUUUAGGGAUAACAGCGUAAUAUUUUUUUUUAGUACAAAUAAAAAAAAAAGUUUGCGACCUCGAUGUUGGAUUAAGAUAAAAUUUAAAUGCAAAAGUUUAAAAUUUUGAUCUGUUCGAUCAUUAAAAUCUUACAUGAUCUGAGCU
This 540-nucleotide ribosomal RNA is filed under the name Melitaea didyma (spotted fritillary). Its description in RNAcentral is "partial 16S ribosomal RNA". The stretch from base 403 to 540 matches the Rfam family "Archaeal large subunit ribosomal RNA", at positions 2542 to 2680 of the family's 2987-position model. Lineage: Eukaryota; Metazoa; Arthropoda; Insecta; Lepidoptera; Nymphalidae. The record is from RNAcentral.